Molecule: ribosomal RNA, 477 nt
Filed under: uncultured bacterium
Lineage: Bacteria
Description: bacterial SSU rRNA
Rfam family: Bacterial small subunit ribosomal RNA
Source: RNAcentral
ACUCCUACGGGAGGCAGCAGUGGGGAAUAUUGCACAAUGGGCGCAAGCCUGAUGCAGCCAUGCCGCGUGUGUGAAGAAGGCCUUCGGGUUGUAAAGCACUUUCAGUCGUGAGGAAGGUGGUAGUGUUAAUAGCACUAUCAUUUGACGUUAGCGACAGAAGAAGCACCGGCUAACUCCGUGCCAGCAGCCGCGGUAAUACGGAGGGUGCGAGCGUUAAUCGGAAUUACUGGGCGUAAAGCGCAUGCAGGUGGUUGUUAAGUCAGAUGUGAAAGCCCGGGGCUCAACCUCGGAAUAGCAUUUGAAACUGGCAAACUAGAGUACUGUAGAGGGGGUAGAAUUUCAGGUGUAGCGGUGAAAUGCGUAGAGAUCUGAAGGAAUACCGGUGGCGAAGGCGGCCCCUGGACAGAUACUGACACUCAGAUGCGAAAGCGUGGGAGCAAACAGGAUUAGAUACCCCGUGGUAGGACGUGUAGACGU